CCUACGGGAGGCAGCAGUGGGGGAUAUUGCACAAUGGGGGAAACCCUGAUGCAGCGACGCCGCGUGUGGGAAGACGGUCCUCUGGAUUGUAAACCACUGUCCCCAGGGACGAAGAUGACGGUACCUGGGGAGGAAGCUCCGGCUAACUACGUGCCAGCAGCCGCGGUAAUACGUAGGGAGCGAGCGUUGUCCGGAAUUACUGGGUGAAAAGGGAGCGUAGGCGGGACUGCAAGUUGGGUGUCAAAUCUACCGGCUCAACCGGUAGCCGCACUCAAAACUGCAGUUCUUGAGUGAAGUAGAGGCAGGCGGAAUUCCUAGUGUAGCGGUGAAAUGCGUAGAUAUUAGGAGGAACACCAGUGGCGAAGGCGGCCUGCUGGGCUGUUACUGACGCUGAGGCUCGAAAGUGUGGGGAGCAAACAGGAUUAGAUACCCCGGUAGUC
This 440-nucleotide ribosomal RNA is filed under the name uncultured bacterium. RNAcentral's name for it is "partial 16S ribosomal RNA". It matches the Rfam family "Bacterial small subunit ribosomal RNA", at positions 338 to 795 of the family's 1533-position model. The record is from RNAcentral.